This 410-nucleotide ribosomal RNA is filed under the name uncultured phototrophic eukaryote. RNAcentral describes it as "bacterial SSU rRNA". It matches the Rfam family "Bacterial small subunit ribosomal RNA", at positions 28 to 478 of the family's 1533-position model. The record is from RNAcentral.
GAUGAACGCUGGCGGUAUGCCUAACACAUGCAAGUCAUACGAGAGUUUUUAACUCAAGUGGCGGACGGGUGAGUAACACGUGAGAAUUUGCCUUUAGGAGGGGGAUAACAACUGGAAACGGGUGCUAAUACCCCAUAUGCUUUCGAGUGAAAUGGAUUUAUCUGCCUAAAGAGAAGCUCGCGGCUGAUUAGCUUGUUGGUAGGGUAAUGGCCUACCAAGGCGACGAUCAGUAUCUGGUUUGAGAGGACGACCAGACACGCUGGAACUGAGACACGGUCCAGACUCCUACGGGAGGCAGCAGUGGGGAAUUUUCCGCAAUGGGCGAAAGCCUGACGGAGCAAUACCGCGUGAGGGAAGAAAGCCUAUGGGUUGUAAACCUCUUUUUUCAGGGAGGAACUCAAUGACGUUAC